RNAcentral lists this ribosomal RNA (861 nucleotides) under uncultured bacterium. RNAcentral's name for it is "bacterial SSU rRNA". It matches the Rfam family "Bacterial small subunit ribosomal RNA", at positions 518 to 1378 of the family's 1533-position model. The record is from RNAcentral.
CGGUAAUACGGAGGGUGCAAGCGUUAAUCGGAAUUACUGGGCGUAAAGCGUGCGUAGGCGGUUUAUUAAGUCAGAUGUGAAAGCCCCGGGCUUAACCUGGGAACUGCAUUUGAAACUGGUCAACUAGAGUAUGGUAGAGGAAAGUGGAAUUUCUGGUGUAGCGGUGAAAUGCGUAGAUAUCAGAAGGAACAUCAAUGGCGAAGGCAGCUUUCUGGACCAAUACAGACGCUGAGGUACGAAAGCGUGGGUAGCAAACAGGAUUAGAUACCCUGGUAGUCCACGCCGUAAACGAUGAUAACUAGCCGUUGGGGGGAUUUACCCUUUAGUGGCGAAGCUAACGCGUUAAGUUAUCCGCCUGGGGAGUACGGCCGCAAGGCUAAAACUCAAAGGAAUUGACGGGGACCCGCACAAGCGGUGGAGCAUGUGGUUUAAUUCGAUGCAACGCGAAGAACCUUACCUGGUCUUGACAUCCUGCGAACUUUCUAGAAAUAGAUUGGUGCCUUCGGGAACGCAGUGACAGGUGCUGCAUGGCUGUCGUCAGCUCGUGUCGUGAGAUGUUGGGUUAAGUCCCGUAACGAGCGCAACCCCUAUCCUUAUUUGCCAGCACGUCAUGGUGGGAACUAUAAGGAGACUGCCGGUGAUAAACCGGAGGAAGGCGGGGACGACGUCAAGUCAUCAUGGCCCUUACGACCAGGGCUACACACGUGCUACAAUGGGAAGGACAAAGAGCCGCGAAGCCGCGAGGUGUAGCUAAUCUCAGAAACCUUUUCGUAGUCCGGAUUGGAGUCUGCAACUCGACUCCAUGAAGUCGGAAUCGCUAGUAAUCGUAGAUCAGAAUGCUACGGUGAAUACGUUCCCGGG